RNAcentral lists this ribosomal RNA (253 nucleotides) under uncultured bacterium. Its description in RNAcentral is "partial 16S ribosomal RNA". It matches the Rfam family "Bacterial small subunit ribosomal RNA", at positions 524 to 776 of the family's 1533-position model. The record is from RNAcentral.
UACGUAGGGGGCAAGCGUUGUCCGGAUUUAUUGGGCGUAAAGCGCGUGUAGGCGGCCAGGUAGGUCCGUUGUGAAAACUCGAGGCUCAACCUCGAGACGUCGACGGAAACCAUCUGGCUAGAGUCCGGAAGAGGGAAGCGGAAUUUCCGGUGUAGCGGUGAAAUGCGUAGAUAUCGGAAGGAACACCAGUGGCGAAAGCGGCUUCCUGGUCCAGCACCGACGUUCAGGCACGAAAGCGUGGGGAGCAAACAGG